GAUGAACGCUAGCGACAGGCUUAACACAUGCAAGUCGAGGGGCAGCAUGAAAGGUAGCAAUACUUUUUGAUGGCGACCGGCGCACGGGUGAGUAACACGUAUGCAACCUGCCCAUUGCAGGGGGAUAAGCGGAAGAAAUUCCGUCUAAUACCGCGUAAUAUCCUUUGAAGGCAUCUUCAUAGGAUUAAAGAAAUUCGGCAAUGGAUGGGCAUGCGGCGCAUUAGCUAGUUGGCGGGGUAACGGCCCACCAAGGCGACGAUGCGUAGGGGUUCUGAGAGGAAGGCCCCCCACACUGGUACUGAGACACGGACCAGACUCCUACGGGAGGCAGCAGUGAGGAAUAUUGGUCAAUGGGCGAGAGCCUGAACCAGCCAAGUCGCGUGAGGGAAGACGGUUCUAUGGAUUGUAAACCUCUUUGUCAGGGAGCACUAAGCCACGUGUGGUGUAAAGAGAGUACCUGAAGAAAAAGC
RNAcentral lists this ribosomal RNA (470 nucleotides) under uncultured bacterium. RNAcentral's name for it is "bacterial SSU rRNA". It matches the Rfam family "Bacterial small subunit ribosomal RNA", at positions 28 to 491 of the family's 1533-position model. The record is from RNAcentral.